This 882-nucleotide long non-coding RNA is filed under the name Homo sapiens (human). Its description in RNAcentral is "HSALNT0052874". Lineage: Eukaryota; Metazoa; Chordata; Mammalia; Primates; Hominidae. The record is from RNAcentral.
CUGACUCUGGAUGACUCAAGAGGGCUUUUCCUUCUCUCAGGAGCUACAAUAGUCACAGAGUGGUCAUGCAUACCUCAAUGGGACAAAGUAUCUCCUCUGAGACUUCAGAAAAUCCUUUUCUUCUGGAGCCACUCUGUUCUGGAUUACCCUGAGAUUUUAAUGAGAUAAAGUCUAGAGAUGUAUAUAACUUUUCUGCAUCAUUUUGGAAUUUUAAUGAGAUGAAACGAGACCCAGAGACACCUGUUCUAGACCACUUUGGGAUCUUAAUGAGAGUGUGUGUGUUGGUAGGUGUCAUCAGUGGAGGGCUGGUGGUUGGAAGUUAGAGGAGUAGCUGUUUAUGAAUUCUAGACCUGGACAGUCUUUGUCAUUAAGUUGAUAUGUGACCCCAUGGAUGCAAACAGGUUGAAGACAAGAGCUCUCUUUAAUGGAACCUGAACAGUGCCUAACUCCUGUAGAUAUUCACUGAAUGUUAAAUAACAACAGUGAUCAUGUAAUAAUGAUGCCCAAUUCACUUGGGAGAGAAUACCAAAUAGCUUGGAAUUUUCCUGUUACUGCCAGCAUGGCCUGAGAGCAUCCUGAGGUGAAUUUAAAAACUUCAGUGAUUCAAAUCACAUUUACCAUAAGAAAUACAUCUUCUAGCUUAGAGUAUUGUUCAGCUGAUUGCUGGCUUACUGUGUCUUCGUUCGAAUCAUCCAGGUCUGGAAGAAAGAUAUUGUGCUUUAAUGAUAAACAAUCUCAAAAGGGAGCAAGAGGGAUUCAACUGGCUCUUCUGGCCAGUGCCUUUCUCUUCAUUUCCCUCAUCCAGUAUUUUUUCCAACUGUUUCAGUUGCUUUGAAGUAAAUUAUUACCAUAUGAGCUCAAUUUAAAGAGCUGCUAUAGAAA